This 484-nucleotide ribosomal RNA is filed under the name uncultured bacterium. RNAcentral's name for it is "partial 16S ribosomal RNA". It matches the Rfam family "Bacterial small subunit ribosomal RNA", at positions 29 to 507 of the family's 1533-position model. The record is from RNAcentral.
AUUGAACGCUGGCGGCAUGCUUUACACAUGCAAGUCGAACGGCAGCGCGGGCUUCGUCCUGGCGGCGAGUGGCGAACGGGUGAGUAAUGCAUCGGAACGUGCCCAGUAGUUGGGGAUAGCCCGGCGAAAGCCGGAUUAAUACCGCAUACGACCUGAUGGUGAAAGCGGGGGACCGAAAGGCCUCGCGCUAUUUGAGCGGCCGAUGUCGGAUUAGCUAGUUGGUGGGGUAAAGGCUUACCAAGGCGACGAUCCGUAGCUGGUCUGAGAGGACGACCAGCCACACUGGGACUGAGACACGGCCCAGACUCCUACGGGAGGCAGCAGUGGGGAAUUUUGGACAAUGGGGGCAACCCUGAUCCAGCAAUGCCGCGUGAGGGAAGAAGGCCUUCGGGUUGUAAACCGCUUUUGUUAGGGAAGAAAUACUCUGGGCUAAUACCCCGGGGGGAUGACGGUACCGGAAGAAUAAGCACCGGCUAACUACGUG